UAAAAAGUGUGAGGCCAGUCCAGGUUACAUAAUGAGAACUGAUUUCAAAAACAAAACAACCUAAAGAAGGGAAAAAGUACCUUCUCACCACUACUAGAAAAAAACCAGUCAAAUAGAAAGCAUGAGUCCGCGCUAGGGUCGGCCUGGGUAACAUAAUGAGACUAUCUCUAAGAAAGAGAGAAGCAAAGAAGGAGAGAAAAGGAAAAAGGAGUAGGGAAGAAGGAAACAAGAUAAUUGAGAGUGCAGUUGAACUGGCAAGACACAAUCUCAAAAGGUAAAAAUAAAAAAAGUUGGCUUUUCAAUGUCAGCUUCUUUUAAUUAGAUUUGUUGUCCUAGUUUACAAAUAUAUUAAUACCCUUAUACAUAAAUUAUAUGUUUUAAAUUAAAAUUAUUGAUUUUAAUUAAAUUUACUGACUUGGAUCGUUGGUGCCAGAUGUUGGUAAUAUACAGCACUCAUACCUAGAUGAGAGAAGAUAUGGAAGUUAUAAACAACAAUAUAGUUAAAAUAAUAGGUAUGUGUUGCAUAAAAUACAGACAUCUUCAUAUUGAGUCCAUUCCUGUCUGAGAUGGGUUUUUAUUGUUCCUCUCUUCAGUGGGAGCUGGUGAAGUGGCCAAUUUUGCUGCAUAUGCAUUUGCUCCGGCCACACUGGUGACUCCACUAGGUGCACUCAGCGUCCUUGUAAGUGCCAUUCUGUCUUCAUACUUCCUAAAUGAAAGACUUAAUCUUCAUGGGAAAAUUGGGUGUUUACUAAGUAUUCUAGGAUCUACAGUUAUGGUCAUUCAUGCUCCAAAGGAAGAGGAGAUUGAGACCUUAAAUGAAAUGUCACAUA
RNAcentral lists this long non-coding RNA (830 nucleotides) under Rattus norvegicus (Norway rat). RNAcentral's name for it is "long non-coding RNA NONRATT002718". Lineage: Eukaryota; Metazoa; Chordata; Mammalia; Rodentia; Muridae. The record is from RNAcentral.